GAUUGUUGAUUUUGUACAAUCGAUUGUUCAUAUUGAAAUCUGAAAAAGAUUUUUUGAACGUUGCUGAAUAAUUGAUUAUUGAUUUGAUAUAAUCGAUUGUUUUACAAAAAAUCUGGAAAUGAUUUUUUGAACGUUGCCAAUAAUCGAUUGUUGAUCUUGGACAAUCGAUUGUUAAGCGUAAAAUCUGGGAUUGAUUUUUGGAA
RNAcentral lists this long non-coding RNA (203 nucleotides) under Nicotiana benthamiana. RNAcentral's name for it is "long non-coding RNA (NBEN_LNC032109)". Lineage: Eukaryota; Viridiplantae; Streptophyta; Magnoliopsida; Solanales; Solanaceae. The record is from RNAcentral.